GGCAAGUGACUGGGUGCUAAUACAUGCAGUUGAGCGCUGAAGGUUGGUACUUGUACCGACUGGAUGAGCAGCGAACGGGUGAGUAACGCGUGGGGAAUCUGCCUUUGAGCGGGGGACAACAUUUGGAAACGAAUGCUAAUACCGCAUAAAAACUUUAAACACAAGUUUUAAGUUUGAAAGAUGCAAUUGCAUCACUCAAAGAUGAUCCCGCGUUGUAUUAGCUAGUUGGUGAGGUAAAGGCUCACCAAGGCGAUGAUACAUAGCCGACCUGAGAGGGUGAUCGGCCACAUUGGGACUGAGACACGGCCCAAACUCCUACGGGAGGCAGCAGUAGGGAAUCUUCGGCAAUGGACGAAAGUCUGACCGAGCAACGCCGCGUGAGUGAAGAAGGUUUUCGGAUCGUAAAACUCUGUUGGUAGAGAAGAACGUUGGUGAGAGUGGAAAGCUCAUCAAGUGACGGUAACUACCCAGAAAGGGACGGCUAACUACGUGCCAGCAGCCGCGGUAAUACGUAGGUCCCGAGCGUUGUCCGGAUUUAUUGGGCGUAAAGCGAGCGCAGGUGGUUUAUUAAGUCUGGUGUAAAAGGCAGUGGCUCAACCAUUGUAUGCAUUGGAAACUGGUAGACUUGAGUGCAGGAGAGGAGAGUGGAAUUCCAUGUGUAGCGGUGAAAUGCGUAGAUAUAUGGAGGAACACCGGUGGCGAAAGCGGCUCUCUGGCCUGUAACUGACACUGAGGCUCGAAAGCGUGGGGAGCAAACAGGAUUAGAUACCCUGGUAGUCCACGCCGUAAACGAUGAGUGCUAGAUGUAGGGAGCUAUAAGUUCUCUGUAUCGCAGCUAACGCAAUAAGCACUCCGCCUGGGGAGUACGACCGCAAGGUUGAAACUCAAAGGAAUUGACGGGGGCCCGCACAAGCGGUGGAGCAUGUGGUUUAAUUCGAAGCAACGCGAAGAACCUUACCAGGUCUUGACAUACUCGUGCUAUUCCUAGAAGAUAGGAAGUUCCUUCGGGAACACGGGAAUACAGUGGUGCAUGGUUGUCGUCAGCUCGUGUCGUGAGAAUGUUGGGUAAGUCCCGCAACGAGCGCACCCCUAUUGUAGUGCAUCAUAAGUGGGCACUCUAACGAGACUGCGUGAUAAACC
Molecule: ribosomal RNA, 1140 nt
Filed under: Lactococcus lactis
Lineage: Bacteria; Bacillati; Bacillota; Bacilli; Lactobacillales; Streptococcaceae
Description: bacterial SSU rRNA
Rfam family: Bacterial small subunit ribosomal RNA
Source: RNAcentral